ACAGGGAUUCCCCCAGUAACGGCGAGUGAAGCGGGAACAGCUCAAUUUGAAAUCUGGCCCUCGGGUCCGAGUUGUAAUUUGUAGAGGAUGCUUUUGGUGCGGUGCCUUCCGAGUUCCCUGGAACGGGACGCCUUAGAGGGUGAGAGCCCCGUACGGUUGGACGCCUAGCCUCUGUAAAGCUCCUUCGACGAGUCGAGUAGUUUGGGAAUGCUGCUCUAAAUGGGAGGUAUAUUUCUUCUAAAGCUAAAUACCGGCCAGAGACCGAUAGCGCACAAGUAGAGUGAUCGAAAGAUGAAAAGCACUUUGAAAAGAGGGUUAAAUAGCACGUGAAAUUGUUGAAAGGGAAGCGUUUAUCACCAGACUUUUUCUAGGGGGAUCAUCCGGGGUUCUCCCCGGUGCACUUCCCCUAGUUGAGGCCAGCAUCGGUUUUCGGAGGGGGAUAAAAGUUUCGGGAAUGUGACUCCCCCGGGAGUGUUAUAGCCCGUUACAUAAUACCCUUCUGGGGACCGAGGUUCGCGCAUCUGCAAGGAUGCUGGCAUAAUGGUGAUCAACGACCCGUCAUAAACCAGGGACC
RNAcentral lists this ribosomal RNA (574 nucleotides) under Fusarium culmorum. RNAcentral's name for it is "eukaryotic LSU rRNA". It matches the Rfam family "Eukaryotic large subunit ribosomal RNA", at positions 68 to 667 of the family's 3401-position model. Lineage: Eukaryota; Fungi; Ascomycota; Sordariomycetes; Hypocreales; Nectriaceae. The record is from RNAcentral.